CCCUUCGUAGAAUAAUGGUCAGUACACUCGGCGCGUAUUCGAGAGAUCCGAGGUUCGAGUCCCGGCGAUGGCA
Molecule: transfer RNA, 73 nt
Filed under: Stegodyphus mimosarum
Lineage: Eukaryota; Metazoa; Arthropoda; Arachnida; Araneae; Eresidae
Rfam family: tRNA
About the family: Transfer RNA (tRNA) molecules are approximately 80 nucleotides in length. Their secondary structure includes four short double-helical elements and three loops (D, anti-codon, and T loops). Further hydrogen bonds mediate the characteristic L-shaped molecular structure. tRNAs have two regions of fundamental functional importance: the anti-codon, which is responsible for specific mRNA codon recognition, and the 3' end, to which the tRNAs corresponding amino acid is attached (by aminoacyl-tRNA synthetases). tRNAs cope with the degeneracy of the genetic code in two manners: having more than one tRNA (with a specific anti-codon) for a particular amino acid; and 'wobble' base-pairing, i.e. permitting non-standard base-pairing at the 3rd anti-codon position.
Source: Rfam by way of RNAcentral